Molecule: transfer RNA, 69 nt
Filed under: marine eukaryotic metagenome
Rfam family: tRNA
About the family: Transfer RNA (tRNA) molecules are approximately 80 nucleotides in length. Their secondary structure includes four short double-helical elements and three loops (D, anti-codon, and T loops).
Source: RNAcentral
CCGAUAGCUCAAUUGGAUAGAGCAACGGCCUUCUAAGCCGUAGGUUGCAGGUUCGAUUCCUGCUCGGCC